This 439-nucleotide ribosomal RNA is filed under the name uncultured bacterium. Its description in RNAcentral is "partial 16S ribosomal RNA". It matches the Rfam family "Bacterial small subunit ribosomal RNA", at positions 339 to 795 of the family's 1533-position model. The record is from RNAcentral.
CGACGGGAUGCAGCAGUGAGGAAUAUUGCACAAUGGGGGGAACCCUGAUGCAGCAACGCCGCGUGGAGGAUGACGCAUUUCGGUGUGUAAACUCCUUUUAUAUGUCAAGAAAAUGACGGUAGCAUAUGAAUAAGCACCGGCUAACUCCGUGCCAGCAGCCGCGGUAAUACGGAGGGUGCAAGCGUUACUCGGAAUCACUGGGUGUAAAGGACGCGUAGGCGGGUUGGAAAGUCAGGUGUGAAAUCCUACAGCUUAACUGUAGAACUGCACUUGAAACUUCUAAUCUAGAGUAUGGGAGGGGGAGACGGAAUUAGUGGUGUAGGGGUAAAAUCCGUAGAUAUCACUAGGAAUACCUAAAGCGAAGGCGAUCUCCUGGAACAUUACUGACGCUAAGGCGUGAAAGCGUGGGGAGCAAACAGGAUUAGAUACCCCUGUAGUC